GCAGAGUUGGUAUUGGUACCUAUACCUAUAUACUCGAUAACGAGAAUACAAAAGCAAUAAUAAUACUCGGAAGGAAAAAAAAAAUUCAAUUGGACAUGCGAUAUAAAGCUACCGAGUUAAGUUGAUCGCGUAUAUACAUGGUACGUAGAGUGUGUACCUUUACCUUUACCUUUCCAGGAAAAUGAAAACAUUCGCAGGUGCUGCGGAGAGGAUUGAGGGCACUGCACCGUUGUAAUGAACGUUAACGUUCAUAGCGGUUAUGUCGCAUUACACCUGAUCUGCAUCACCUGUAAUCAACAAUGAUCAAUCGCGUGUUCUUGAUCUGCAGGUAUAUAUCGUACCUUUUAGCCAAUUUUUCGCGCGAUAGUGGUUAAAUUUUUUUCAAAUAGUCGUUUACUACUUACUACGUUCUCGAUGUGAUAUUUUAAAGUGUUAGUUGGACGGCGAGGUUCGCUUUUAUCGUGUAGUAUUCUCGCAGUAUGCGUGUUGUUCUGAACUGAAGGCUGUACAAUGACCUCCGAACAAGAAACACAAAGAACUUUACACGACGAAAUACCGAAAAGGUGAAUGAGAAAAAGAUGGCAAUUGCCGAAAAAAGGAAUGUAUUGACUGAGAAAAAUAUGAUCUCUCAUCGAAGACCCAAAAUCCAUCAUCGAUUUAGAAUAAUUUUUUGGUCAUUAAUUCGAUAAUACUGUUCCUCGUUGAGUAUUUUUAUUUUAGUUUAAGAAUUUUAUUUUAUUUAAGUUUCAUGAAUUAUACAGCUCAUGCCAAAGAAUUCCUAUUAAAAAGCAAGCUUUAAUUGCGUUAAGUAGUAAAUUCAUUUUUAAAUUUAGUUUUUAGUGAGAUAAAAAUUAGAGAUGCUUUGUUAUUGAAUAUUCUGUUAAAAAAUUAUUGUUGUGUUAUUUCUAGUUUAAAUUUUUUACUUUUCAUUCAAUAUUUAUAAGGUUGUUUUAGUAGUUUAAGAUUUAUUUAUUUUCUAUUUUGUUGACUGUUUGUUGAGAUUUUUUUUUUUGAUAGAGGAGUAAUUGGGAUUAUAAAAAAUUGCACCAAAUAAUUAAUAAGUACAUUUGAACUGCUCACAAACUUUAUUAAGUAGGUAGUAGGUACAUUCCAAGAGAAACAAGAGUGUUUUGAAAUAAUUUUUUAAAAUCAGUUUAAUAUGACAAUUAAAUAAUAUUAUAAUAUGAUAAGUAAACAAAAAGUUUUUAAAAAAUUUGAAUUUUUUUCUGAAGAUCUUCAUAAAUUUUUGAAAAAAAUUGUACUGUGUCAAAUAACAUACUGUGAUUAAAAUUUCAAUUUUGUGCUUUUAAACUUUAUUGUCUUUUUUUUAUCGGUCUCUCAUUUAAAUUCAAUAACCACAAUUCGAGAGGUUUUUUUAAAGCGAGAUAAAUGAUACAAAUAAAAAUAAAUUAAGAAAAAUUGUUGUUUUCUAAUUAUUUAAGAAAAAAGUUACAUCUAGUUGAUUUAUUAUUGUUAGUAAUUGUUUUUUCCUAAUAAUUUACGAGUAAAUGUCUUAUUGAAUUUUCUUAUUUAAAAUUAAAUGUUUUUCGAGUUGAAUAAGAGUAUCAUAAUUAUAUUCAUAUUCGAGCCUAUAACAAAUUAUGCGACACGUGAAACACGAAAAUGUUUUCUGACGUAGUUCAAAAUUACUUUUUUUUUUCAAAAUUGGACGCAACCAACCAUCACUUUUGGGCCAACAAAAUUUUCUUGCGAAAUGACUUUAAAAAGGUGGAAAUAUGUGAGCUUUUUAAAAUAAAUUUUAACUUUCUUUUCUU
This is a long non-coding RNA of Planococcus citri (citrus mealybug), 1775 nucleotides long. RefSeq lists it as uncharacterized. The transcript is spliced from 2 exons. Lineage: Eukaryota; Metazoa; Arthropoda; Insecta; Hemiptera; Pseudococcidae. The record is from RefSeq and is a predicted model, not a curated record.